Molecule: ribosomal RNA, 433 nt
Filed under: uncultured bacterium
Lineage: Bacteria
Description: partial 16S ribosomal RNA
Rfam family: Bacterial small subunit ribosomal RNA
Source: RNAcentral
AACGAACGCUGGCGGCAUGCCUAACACAUGCAAGUCGAACGAGACCUUCGGAUCUAGUGGCGCACGGGUGCGUAACACGUGGGAAUCUGCCCUUUGCUUCGGAAUAACAGUUAGAAAUGACUGCUAAUACCGGAUGAUGUCGAAAGACCAAAGAUUUAUCGGCAAAGGAUGAGCCCGCGUAGGAUUAGGUAGUUGGUGGGGUAAAGGCCUACCAAGCCGACGAUCCUUAGCUGGUCUGAGAGGAUGAUCAGCCACACUGGGACUGAGACACGGCCCAGACUCCUACGGGAGGCAGCAGUGGGGAAUAUUGGACAAUGGGCGAAAGCCUGAUCCAGCAAUGCCGCGUGAGUGAUGAAGGCCUUAGGGUUGUAAAGCUCUUUUACCAGGGAUGAUAAUGACAGUACCUGGAGAAUAAGCUCCGGCUAACUCCGUG